GUGCACGCUGGCGGUAGGCCUAACACAUGCAAGUCGAACGGCAGCACAGUAAGAGCUUGCUCUUACGGGUGGCGAGUGGCGGACGGGUGAGGAAUACAUCGGAAUCUACUUUUUCGUGGGGGAUAACGUAGGGAAACUUACGCUAAUACCGCAUACGACCUACGGGUGAAAGCAGGGGAUCUUCGGACCUUGCGCGAUUGAAUGAGCCGAUGUCGGAUUAGCUAGUUGGCGGGGUAAAGGCCCACCAAGGCGACGAUCCGUAGCUGGUCUGAGAGGAUGAUCAGCCACACUGGAACUGAGACACGGUCCAGACUCCUACGGGAGGCAGCAGUGGGGAAUAUUGGACAAUGGGCGCAAGCCUGAUCCAGCCAUACCGCGUGGGUGAAGAAGGCCUUCGGGUUGUAAAGCCCUUUUGUUGGGAAAGAAAAGCAGCAGGUUAAUACCCCGCUGUUCUGACGGUACCCAAAGAAUAAGCACCGGCUAACCUCGUG
RNAcentral lists this ribosomal RNA (491 nucleotides) under uncultured bacterium. Its description in RNAcentral is "partial 16S ribosomal RNA". It matches the Rfam family "Bacterial small subunit ribosomal RNA", at positions 29 to 507 of the family's 1533-position model. The record is from RNAcentral.